GAUUAAGAACGUAGCGAAAUGCGAUAAGUAAUGUGAAUUGCAGAAUUCAGUGAAUCAUCGAAUCUUUGAACGCACAUUGCGCCCGCCAGUAUUCUGGCGGGCAUGCCUGUCUGAGCGUCAUUUCAACCCUCAUGCCCCUAGGGCGUGGUGUUGGGGAUCGGCCAAAGCCCGCGAGGGACGGCCGGCCCCUAAAUCUAGUGGCGGACCCGUCGUGGCCUCCUCUGCGAAGUAGUGAUAUUCCGCAUCGGAGAGCGAUGAGCCCCUGCCGUUAAACCCCCAACUUUCCAAGGUUGACCUCAGAUCAGGUAGGAAUACCCGCUGAACUUAAGCAUAUCAAUAAGCGGAGGA
This 348-nucleotide unclassified non-coding RNA is filed under the name soil metagenome. Its description in RNAcentral is "partial contains 5.8S ribosomal RNA, internal transcribed spacer 2, and large subunit ribosomal RNA". The stretch from base 1 to 120 matches the Rfam family "5.8S ribosomal RNA", at positions 35 to 154 of the family's 154-position model. The record is from RNAcentral.